Molecule: ribosomal RNA, 235 nt
Filed under: uncultured bacterium
Lineage: Bacteria
Description: partial 16S ribosomal RNA
Rfam family: Bacterial small subunit ribosomal RNA
Source: RNAcentral
GGCGGACGGGUGAGUAAUACUUAGGAAUCUACCCAUGUAGUGGGGGACAACUCCGGGAAACCGGAGCUAAUACCGCAUAAGCCCUACGGGGGAAAGCAGGGGAUCUUCGGACCUUGCGCUAUUGGAUGAGCCUAAGUCAGAUUAGCUUGUUGGUGGGGUAAAAGCCUACCAAGGCGACGAUCUGUAGCUGGUCUGAGAGGAUGAUCAGCCACACUGGGACUGAGACACGGCCCAG